This 254-nucleotide ribosomal RNA is filed under the name uncultured bacterium. Its description in RNAcentral is "partial 16S ribosomal RNA". It matches the Rfam family "Bacterial small subunit ribosomal RNA", at positions 524 to 776 of the family's 1533-position model. The record is from RNAcentral.
UACAGGGGGUGCAAACGUUGCUCGGAAUCAUUGGGCGUAAAGCGCACGUAGGCGGUUCGUUAUGUCGGAUGUGAAAGCCCUUGGCUUAACCGAGGAAGUGCAUCCGAAACUGGCGAGCUAGAGUACGAAAAGAGGAUCGCGGAAUUCCCGGUGUAGAGGUGAAAUUCGUAGAUAUCGGGAGGAACACCGGUGGCGAAGGCGGCGAUCUGGGUCGAUACUGACGCUGAGGAGCGAAAGCGUGGGGAGCGAACAGG